This 481-nucleotide ribosomal RNA is filed under the name uncultured bacterium. RNAcentral describes it as "SSU rRNA". It matches the Rfam family "Bacterial small subunit ribosomal RNA", at positions 26 to 521 of the family's 1533-position model. The record is from RNAcentral.
AGAACGAACGCUGGCGGCAUGCCUAACACAUGCAAGUCGAACGCCUCCGGGGCUUCGGUCGCGGAGGAGUGGCGCACGGGUGAGUAGCGCGUGGGAACCUGCCCUGUUGUGGGGGAUAACCGAGGGAAACUUCGGCUAAUACCGCAUACGCCCCGGGACUUGGUCUUCGGAUUAGGUCUGGGGGGAAAGAUUGAUCGCAGCAGGAGGGGCCCGCGUCGGAUUAGCUGGUUGGUGGGGUAACGGCUCACCAAGGCGAUGAUCCGUAGCUGGUCUGAGAGGAUGAUCAGCCACACUGGGACUGAGACACGGCCCAGACUCCUACGGGAGGCAGCAGUGGGGAAUAUUGGACAAUGGGGGCAACCCUGAUCCAGCAAUGCCGCGUGAGUGAUGAAGGCCUUAGGGUUGUAAAGCUCUUCGCCCGCGACGAUGAUGACGGUAGCGGGAGAAGAAGCCCGGCUAACUUCGUGCCAGCAGCCGCGGU